GAGUGACAGGGGAGGUAGUGACAUAGACUGCCUCCAGAGUAUCUUUUACAGGGACACGUCUAGUGCCAGCAGCCGCGGUAAUUCCUUCUCUCCUCUCGUAUAUGAGAAUUGUUGCAGUUAAAACGCUCGUAGUUGAAUUUCUGCUGUAUUGCAUUUUCUCUUUUUAUAUGAGUUCUUGCAUUAUGGCUCAUUUCAGUAUUAAUUAUUUAUUAUUACUGAAUGUUUACUUUGACAAAACUAGAGUGCUCAAAGCAAGCUUUUGCCUUGAAUAGUUUAGCAUGGAAUCAUAAAGUACGACUUUGGUUCUAUCUUGUUGGUUUUAUGUACCAAAGUCAUCGUUAUUAGGCACAGUUGGGGGCAUUCGUAUUUAACUGUCAGAAGGUCACAUUCUUAGAC
Molecule: ribosomal RNA, 396 nt
Filed under: Theileria sp. OT3
Lineage: Eukaryota; Apicomplexa; Aconoidasida; Piroplasmida; Theileriidae
Description: bacterial SSU rRNA
Rfam family: Eukaryotic small subunit ribosomal RNA
Source: RNAcentral